This 59-nucleotide transfer RNA is filed under the name Limosilactobacillus reuteri. RNAcentral's name for it is "tRNA-OTHER". It matches the Rfam family "tRNA". Rfam says of the family: Transfer RNA (tRNA) molecules are approximately 80 nucleotides in length. Their secondary structure includes four short double-helical elements and three loops (D, anti-codon, and T loops). The record is from RNAcentral. Lineage: Bacteria; Bacillati; Bacillota; Bacilli; Lactobacillales; Lactobacillaceae.
GAGGUUGUAGUCAAAUUGGUAGAUUCCUGGAGAUGUGGGUUCGAGUCCCACCAACCUCA